CCUACGGGAGGCUGCAGUCGAGAAUCAUUCACAAUGGGGGAAACCCUGAUGGUGCGACGCCGCGUGGGGGAAUGCAGGUCUUCGGAUUGUAAACCCCUGUCAUGUGGGAGCAAAUUAAAAAGAUAGUACCACAAGAGGAAGAGACGGCUAACUCUGUGCCAGCAGCCGCGGUAAUACAGAGGUCUCAAGCGUUGUUCGGAAUCACUGGGCGUAAGGCGUGCGUAGGCCGUUUCGUAAGUCGUGUGUGAAAGGCGCGGGCUCAACCCGCGGACGGCACAUGAUACUGCGAGACUAGAGUAAUGGAGGGGGAACCGGAAUUCUCGGUGUAGCAGUGAAAUGCGUAGAUAUCGAGAGGAACACUCGUGGCGAAGGCGGGUUCCUGGACAUUAACUGACGCUGAGGCACGAAGGCCAGGGGAGCGAAAGGGAUUAGAUACCCGUGUAGUC
RNAcentral lists this ribosomal RNA (446 nucleotides) under uncultured bacterium. Its description in RNAcentral is "partial 16S ribosomal RNA". It matches the Rfam family "Bacterial small subunit ribosomal RNA", at positions 338 to 795 of the family's 1533-position model. The record is from RNAcentral.